UGGGGAAUAUUGCACAAUGGGCGCAAGCCUGAUGCAGCCAUGCCGCGUGUAUGAAGAAGGCCUUCGGGUUGUAAAGUACUUUCAGCGGGGAGGAAGGCGAUAAGGUUAAUAACCUCAUCGAUUGACGUUACCCGCAGAAGAAGCACCGGCUAACUCCGUGCCAGCAGCCGCGGUAAUACGGAGGGUGCAAGCGUUAAUCGGAAUUACUGGGCGUAAAGCGCACGCAGGCGGUCUGUCAAGUCGGAUGUGAAAGCCCCGGGCUCAACCUGGGAACUGCAUUCGAAACUGGCAGGCUAGAGUCUUGUAGAGGGGGGUAGAAUUCCAGGUGUAGCGGUGAAAUGCGUAGAGAUCUGGAGGAAUACCGGUGGCGAAGGCGGCCCCCUGGACGAAGACUGACGCUCAGGUGCGAAAGCGUGUGGAGCAAACAGG
Molecule: ribosomal RNA, 429 nt
Filed under: Chloroflexota bacterium
Lineage: Bacteria; Bacillati; Chloroflexota
Description: Chloroflexi bacterium partial 16S ribosomal RNA
Rfam family: Bacterial small subunit ribosomal RNA
Source: RNAcentral